Molecule: long non-coding RNA, 1365 nt
Organism: Homo sapiens (human)
Lineage: Eukaryota; Metazoa; Chordata; Mammalia; Primates; Hominidae
Exons: 2
Source: RefSeq, a predicted model, not a curated record
AAAAAGAAAAAAAAAAAAAAAGAAAAGAAAUAGAUAUAUGCACACUCUCAACCACAAGGGAGAUCAAGUUGAGGGUGCAUUUUGCAUUAGGUACUAUCUAAAGAAUGCUGCUACACCCUUUUCAGGCAUCUUGAAACUCAAAAUAGCUGUGUGUAAAUAUACGUUCAUGGAGGUUCCUUGUUCAAAGACUUAAAAAAGUUUUCUAGUCCUACUUUACUCUUAUAUCCAGGAUAGAAAUAAUAAAGAAAAUAAUAAAAAAGGUAGUAAACAGGAAGAAGAGUUAUUAAGGGAAACGUGGGUUAAAAUAGUUAAAACACAACAUAGGGGUUUCCUCUCCUUCCUUCAGUCUCAUGGGCUCUCCACAAACCUCAGUUAUGUAACAGGAAAUACAACAGAAAUAUUUCUGGGUUUGGAAAAUCUGCAGGACUGGUUUUGCCUCUUAUGGAAUCAUUUCCCAGAGAUGACAGCCAAGAUGCGUAAAGUGAUCUCACAAGGGUGUUUACAUAGAUUAGGAAUUAGCAAUCAGUGACGCAGAUACAAAGGUGGCAAAGAUGACAAUGAAGGCCAUGGUAGCAGCUGACUCUGAGAAACCAUGUGUGUGUGUGCGCGCGCGUGUGUGUGUGUGUAUGUGAGUGUGUGUGUCAUAUGAGGGACCAAGUGUGGGUCAGGAGGAGUCCUGCUUAUCAUCCCUCUCUUUGCAGAUCUCACCCCACAGGCCUUGGAAACCUGAGGCAGUAUUCUUCUGGGAUGUUUCCAACUAGGCUUCCCAUGAGGAUGUUAGAGCCAGCCUGGCUGGUGAAUUUUACUUCUCUCACCUCUCAGAGAUGCCCCAUCAAAACAUAGAGUCCAUUUCCUCAACCUUGAAUCCAGAUGGACUUGCUUUGUUCAUUGGGAGAUUAGCAAAUAUGACCCAAUCAGAGGCUUGAAAAGUGCUUGCAUGUUGGGGCUAGUUUUCUGGAACCUGAGAAUGCCCCCUAAAGGAGUCCAAGCUAGCCUGUUGGAGGAUGAGAGAUGGAGACUGAGAGACCAGCUAUUCCAACUAAAGCCACCUAGACCAACCAUUAGACAUGCACCUGGCCAUUGAAGACAAGUAGACCUGGUAGAGUGUCCAGCUGAAUGUAGAUAUCAGCUGAGACAGUCCAGGUAGGAAGAACCAUCUGGAUGACUCACAAAAGUGAGAGAGACUAUACAUGUUUGUUUUUAAAGUCAGUAAGUGAUGGAGUGGUUUGUUAUGCAGCAGAAACUAACCAACACAUUUGCUUGCCAGCUUACUCCCCAUUGGUUGCCUUCCUUUCCCUGUAUCUCUUUCCUACUCUGCUACUGGAGUUUCCUGAACCUCCCAAAUAAAUGUUCACUUAAAUCCUU